Molecule: transfer RNA, 75 nt
Filed under: Persicirhabdus sediminis
Lineage: Bacteria; Pseudomonadati; Verrucomicrobiota; Verrucomicrobiia; Verrucomicrobiales; Verrucomicrobiaceae
Description: tRNA-Val
Rfam family: tRNA
About the family: Transfer RNA (tRNA) molecules are approximately 80 nucleotides in length.
Source: RNAcentral
GCUCGGUUAGCUCAGCGGUAGAGCGCUACCUUGACAUGGUAGAUGUCACAAGUUCAAAUCUUGUACCGAGCACCA